AUUGUUGUGAAGGUAUUUAUUCUUUCUUAUUUUUCUUGAAAGCUUAGAGUUACUAAUUGUUUUGUCAUCAAAUUUUCUGAUUAUAAAUAUCAAGGAGUCCCACCGUACACUACAGUUUCGUGGCAUGGAUUGUAUUUUCCUUGUAAUUCGAAGCUUGUAAAUCACAAGGGCGUCAAAGGCCAUGAGCUCUAUGAACACCUUCGGACGACCACCAGAUUUGGUUGCUACCAUUGCUUUCAAAAUAAAAGCGCCUGUCUGUUGCAGAAGAAACCAUCACUGCUUAAUAGGAAAGUAGUACUUCUGUUAUGGUUGAGUUUAAAAUGUGCUUUUUAGAGGCAUCAUCUCUCAGAGACCAACUCAUGCAUGUGUUCAGAGAGGGUCUUAAUUGGUGCAUGAUUUACUACAUGAAGCAAAACUUUGCUUGGACAGGCUGAAAGACUAUGGUGAGGAAGAGCCCUUUAUACAGUUUUAUAGGCCUGUCUUCUCACUGGGAACAUAUAUUUACUAAUUGUAUAAUUGGUGGCACAGUUCUUCCAUCAUAAACAUUGUUAUCAGUUAAUUAAACUUGAAAUGCAGCUUUGUUCCACAACAUGUUUUGUCAGAUUGUUUUCCUUAUUUAUUUAUCAUCAUAAAAUUUUACUUGGUGACUGGCAGCUUCUCAGCCCUCCAAUAAUAAUAUAAAUCAAAACAUAAGAUUUUAGUCUUCAUGCAAUUUCCUUUUGGUCUGAAAAUAUGAAACCAGAUGUUUUUGGCAU
This 755-nucleotide long non-coding RNA is filed under the name Papio anubis (olive baboon). RNAcentral describes it as "lncRNA (ENSPANG00000045018.1)". The record is from RNAcentral. Lineage: Eukaryota; Metazoa; Chordata; Mammalia; Primates; Cercopithecidae.